GACGAACGCUGGCGGCGUGCUUAACACAUGCAAGUCGAACGGUGAAGGUGGAGCUUGCUCCGCCGGAUCAGUGGCGAACGGGUGAGUAACACGUGGGCAACCUGCCCCUCACUUCGGGAUAACUCCGGGAAACCGGGGCUAAUACCGAAUACGACCUCCUUGGGCAUCCCGGGAGGUGGAAAGUUUUUCGGUGAGGGAUGGGCCCGCGGCCUAUCAGCUUGUUGGUGAGGUAACGGCUCACCAAGGCGACGACGGGUAGCCGGCCUGAGAGGGCGACCGGCCACACUGGGACUGAGACACGGCCCAGACUCCUACGGGAGGCAGCAGUGGGGAAUAUUGCGCAAUGGGCGAAAGCCUGACGCAGCAACGCCGCGUGCGGGAUGAAGGCCUUCGGGUUGUAAACCGCUUUCAGCAGGGAAGAAGCCGCAAGGUGACGGUACCUGCAGAAGAAGCACCGGCUAACUACGUGCCAGCCGCCGCCGUAA
RNAcentral lists this ribosomal RNA (485 nucleotides) under uncultured bacterium. Its description in RNAcentral is "partial 16S ribosomal RNA". It matches the Rfam family "Bacterial small subunit ribosomal RNA", at positions 28 to 523 of the family's 1533-position model. The record is from RNAcentral.